Long non-coding RNA from Callithrix jacchus (white-tufted-ear marmoset), 1864 nucleotides. RefSeq lists it as uncharacterized. The record is from RefSeq and is a predicted model, not a curated record. NCBI's taxonomy places the organism in Eukaryota, Metazoa, Chordata, Mammalia, Primates, Cebidae.
UGUAUACCUGCAUAUAUUAAGUUCUUUUCUACUAUUUUUUUUUAAUCUGGUAACCUUCAGUCCUAAGAGGGAGAUAAUACCUAAUGAGUAUGACUUUUAAAUAGUUUACAUGUCUCAUCAGUUAUUGUUCUCAAGAGAAUUGGGUUUUCACACUUUGGGACCUCAAAACAAGGAUGUUCUGAGAUUUCUGUGUCCACACUAAUUACCUUAGUUCUCAUGAACGAGUACAUUCUGUUUCUUUAGUGAUGAGUGAGUGGUUUUAAAUGUCUAGAAUAGAGAGAGGUGACUAGUCAACCAUAUUACCUAUUAAUUUGUAAUUAAUUUCCUUGUUUUAAUCCCCAUUCUUUAGUUAGUAUGUUAAACACCAACCCUUCUGCCUAAGAUCUACAAAGCACAUCUGCUACCCUCCUUGGCUACAACUUUCUACUUACUUAUCCUAGGCUGUAGCUCUUACUUCAUUAGCAACCAUUCCUCAGUUUUCUUUACAUGUAUAUAAAGAAUGUUGAUCUCAUUUCUUUAGUCAUUGACUGAUUUUCUUCAUCACUGUGAAUGUAAACUUUUUUUGCUCCAUUAAAGUCAUCUCAUUGUCAUCUCUGGAGGUAAGAAAGUUAAAAAUACAUAUACAGUCUCUCACUCUGAUCCAGAAAUGCACAUGUUCAUUCCUCAUUUUUGAAAAGGUAACAAUAAAAUCUAUGAUGAUUUAAUUGACCUUAUUGGGUAAUUAAAGUGGUACUGUAAAUGAAACAGGCACUAAUUUUUACAAGUGAAUAGUCAUUCUUUCUCUAACAAUGCCUAACUUUGUGCUUGCUUAAAAAUUUCUGGAACCAGCCUUGAGAUAAAACCAAGGUUGGAAAACACUCCCAUGAAGAAAAUACUGAGAAGCUAAUCUGCAAUGCUAUUGCAGUCUAGCUUACACCAGCCAGACCACUAGAUGGUCCACUCAAGAUAAUCAUCAGAACAAGACAUGCUGACCUGCAUGUAGUUCCUCUAGGCCAUUCCCCUUUAAAAUCCAUUCAACCAGCCUGUGGAAAGAGAGAUGGCCUUUGUAACAUUAGUCUACUAUUUCCUCUGGUUGCCAGUUCCUCAAUAAACCUACUUUUUCUUUCUUGCACCAACUCUUGUCUCUUGAAUUUAGUUUUCAAAUGGCAAGAAGUGGAACCUAGAUUCAGUGAAAAUUCCUGGCAUCCAAUGUGGGAUGUGUGUCUAGGGAUGUCCAACCUGCCUGAUUUCCAAUGGAUGGAGCAAUAGAACAUGGAAGUGUGCCAGGACUUACCCAUUCACACUACCAGGCAGGGUAACAACCACUCUGAGUGUCAGUUGCUCACGGCUAGCUAACCCUCUAGCUAGGAUUCUAAGAACACCUAGCAGCUGACAAAAACACUUUCCUUGAGGAUUUCUCUUUGCAUGGCCUCUGCUGCCUGUGAUUCUCAGUUGAUGCAAGGAACAGCAGUAUCUGAAGAGCUGACAGCCUCCAAGACUGGAUGCUCAUUGGAUGUCUGGUCAUUUCCAAUUAAGAAAGUUUUAUGGAUCUCAUAGGCGGGUGUUGAACAAUGAGAACACAUGGACACAGUAAGUGUCAAAUAAGAAACUCAAGAGGAAAAUAUGACUGAAAGAAAUAUUCAGAGUUUUUACCUAUUGAUAUUAUAAUAAGAAUAAAGAGAAGCAACAAAUUCAUAGUUGAGACUGCUUAGAAGACUGUGACUUAUGAGGAAUCCUGAGUCUGUAAUGUGGCUGGUAAGUCAUUUCUGAUCAAAGAGUAUAAUCAGAAAAACUAAUAUGUUUAAUAAUAAGAUGAAUUUUAAUUAUUAAUGGCUGAUAACAAAGGGCACCUAGUAUAUGGCAGGCAGUUCUCUAAACAUGCUAC